This 300-nucleotide long non-coding RNA is filed under the name Homo sapiens (human). Its description in RNAcentral is "HSALNT0097299". The record is from RNAcentral. Lineage: Eukaryota; Metazoa; Chordata; Mammalia; Primates; Hominidae.
UCUUGAUGACAUCUUUGUUUUGGACUUCUAAUGACAUGAUGAAGAAAGUGAAAAACAAGCCACAGAUGAGUGGGCACGUUGGGCCAAGCACUGUUCUAGACAUAAAUAUUUCAUAGAGAUUCAUCAACACAAGUUGCAAUAAAACACGAAAAAGAUUGAUGUAAUGUUUCUGUGAUAGGCAGCCUCUAAGAUGAUCUACAGAUCUCUACUUCUUGAUAUUCAUCAUCUUACUGUAGGCUGGUCCACCUAGCAUCUCUAAGCAGGAUACUGAAAAAAAGUAUCGAAUGAGCUGCCGCUUCU